GUCUGUUUCUCACUCUCUGUGUUUCUGUUCUAUGAAAGAUAUAAAUAAAUAAAUAAAAUCUCGGAAGGUAAGCAGGGUUGGGCCUGGUUAGUACUUGGAUGGGAGACCACCUGGGAAUACCAGGUGCUGUAGGCU
Molecule: ribosomal RNA, 135 nt
Organism: Tupaia belangeri (northern tree shrew)
Lineage: Eukaryota; Metazoa; Chordata; Mammalia; Scandentia; Tupaiidae
Source: Ensembl